Molecule: non-coding RNA, 420 nt
Organism: Pelobates cultripes (western spadefoot toad)
Lineage: Eukaryota; Metazoa; Chordata; Amphibia; Anura; Pelobatidae
Source: the annotation of a GenBank genome assembly
CUGGUUUUAUUUGAGUGGAACAGCGAUCUUGGCAAUAAAUUUCUAAGCUAUAUUCACUUGUGAUAUAAACACAGGGUGGAAAGGGGACCCUGGCAGUGACAUCCCAGCUACUUGCAGAUAGACUGUCACAGCUAUAAUCACUGCUUUACAGGAGAGAAAGUCUCCAGAGCUAGAACCACUGCAGAAAUCUAUAACCACCAAGGACUGGUCCGGUGGAAGAGGGUCUCAGAGGCCUUAAGUGCUCCAAGGUCCCUGGUAGCAGGAAGGAAGCAGACCUCGCUAAGCUACUCAGUCAGAGUAUGGGAGCCCCAUCUCAAUGUCCAUCUCCAGAUGGUUCCCAUUCUAAUGGAGAAGGAGAAGGUCUUCUCAAUUCAUUUAGCAUUUUAGGAAUUUUACUCCAGAUAUAGUCUCUAGAAUGAG